RNA transcript from Erigeron canadensis, 2053 nucleotides. It is a transcript of the gene named probable L-cysteine desulfhydrase, chloroplastic, with no coding region annotated. The transcript is spliced from 3 exons. The record is from RefSeq and is a predicted model, not a curated record. NCBI's taxonomy places the organism in Eukaryota, Viridiplantae, Streptophyta, Magnoliopsida, Asterales, Asteraceae.
AUUUGAAUGCUGAUUCAUAAACCCACUUCCUACCUUGUUUUUUUUUUUUUUACCUCCCCCAGUCCACCCUCAUUUCAUUUCACGGCCACCAUCAUCAGCCGUUCACCACCAUGGCUUCCACUAAUCCUCACCACCACCACCAACUCAACGGCACCACCACCACAAUCGACCCCAAUAAUCCCUCAUCUCACAAUAAAACCAAAAACAACAACAUCGAUAUCUCCGCCGAAUUCGCCCAUCACGACCCAACCAUCGCCCGAAUCAACAACGGCAGUUUCGGGUCAUGCCCGAAUUCCAUAAUCCAAUCCCAACACCAUUACCAGCUCCAAUUCCUUCAACAACCCGACGACUUUUAUUUCAAUCAUCUCAAACCCUCAAUUCUCCGUUCCAGACAAUCAAUCAAAACCCUAAUCAACGCCAACCACGUCGACGAAAUCUCCAUCGUCGAUAACGCCACCACGGCCGCCGCAAUCGUCUUACAACAUGUAAAAUGGUCGUUUUUCGAGUCGAAAUUCAACCCGGGGGAUACUGCAGUCAUGCUUCAUUACGCUUACGGUGCCGUUAAGAAGUCGGUUGAGGCGUAUGUGACUCGUGCCGGUGGUCAUGUCAUUGAGGUUAAAAUGCCUUUUCCUGUUUCUUCUGAUAUUGAAAUUAUUGAUGCUUUUAGAGUUGCUUUAGAAUUAGGGAAAUCGGGUAAUCGUAAAGUUAGGUUAGCUGUGAUUGAUCAUAUUACUUCUAUGCCUAGUGUUGUGAUUCCUGUUAAAGAGUUAGUGAAAAUGUGUCGAGACGAAGGUGUGGAUCGGAUAUUUGUGGACGCUGCACACGCGAUUGGUUCGAUUGAGGUUGAUGUGCAGGAUAUAGGGGCGGAUUUUUAUACUAGUAAUUUGCAUAAGUGGUUGUUUUGUCCGCCUUCUAUUGCGUUUUUGCAUUGUAGGAAUCCUGAAAUGGUGAAUUUGCAUCAUCCGGUAGUGUCUCAUGAAUACGGGAAUGGGAUUGCGAUAGAGAGUUCGUGGAUCGGGACGAGGGACUAUAGUGCACAGUUAGUUGUACCCGAGGCGUUAGAGUUUGUUAAUAAGUUUGAAGGCGGAAUUGAGGGAUUAAGGAAAUGGAAUCAUGAAAAGGUUUUGGAAAUGGCGGAAAUGUUAGUGAAGGCUUGGGGGACUCAUCUUGGUUCACCUCCGGAAAUGUGUUCGAGUAUGGCAAUGAUUGGUUUGCCUGCUUGUUUAGGGAUUAUGAGUGAUUCUGAUGGGUUAAAGUUGAGGUCUCAUUUAAGGGAGAAUUUUAAGGUUGAAGUGCCGAUAUAUUAUCGGCAACCUAAGGAUGGGGAGGUUAAUCCGGUAACAGGGUAUGCUAGGAUUUCUCAUCAGAUUUACAAUACUGUUGAUGAUUAUUACAGAUUUCGAGAUGCCAUUAGCAAUCUUGUGAAUUCUGGCUUCACUUGUACAAGUUUUCAAGAUUGAAAGAGUAUUUUCUGAAUAGGUUACCGGGAAAGAUGGUGUAGGUGGAGAAGGUCCUUAUAUGGAAUAAAUGUCUGUGUAUAAUCACAGAAAAUAAAGGUUCAGCCAGUUACUUUACGCUCAGGUCACCAGGCAGGCAGGCAUGCAUGCACAAAGCUUGGAUGUAAAAUCACCGUGCUGCUGAGGCUGGUGACAAUAAUACUUCUUACAACAUCUCAAGUUGAGAUGCAGAAAACCAUCUUCUAGAUUUGAAGGUAACAAAGCUUGUAGCACCUCAUGAAUUAGAAAUCUCAAUGGGCAUUGUGGUUAUUGUUGUUUAGCUCCCACAUUUGUAAAACUUGCUUGAAGUUGCAUUUAACCUGGUUAACUACCAAGGCUCGACGCUGAACUCUCACAUUGUACCAUUAUAGAAAGCCUAAAGUGGGUUUUUAUUUGUACAAGUAUUGUUAUAGCAAAUAAGAUGGUUGGUUUACAAUUCUGGAGAGUAGGGAAAACACUUCAUUUCAAAUACAAAUUGUAUACCUUUGGGACAACCUAAAAAGAAGAUGAUGAUUGGAAUUUUUUUUUCUUGUCUUAUAAAACUCACUCUUAGAUCA